RNAcentral lists this ribosomal RNA (494 nucleotides) under uncultured bacterium. RNAcentral describes it as "partial 16S ribosomal RNA". It matches the Rfam family "Bacterial small subunit ribosomal RNA", at positions 28 to 507 of the family's 1533-position model. The record is from RNAcentral.
GACGAACGCUGGCGGCGUGCUUAACACAUGCAAGUCGAACGGAAAGGCCUGCUUUCCCUUGUGGAUUGCGGGUACUCGAGUGGCUAACGGGUGAGUAACACGUGAGUGAUCUGCCCCCAACUUGGGUAUAAGCCUGGGAAACUGGGUCGAAUUCCCGAUAGGACUGCAGGGUGGUGCCGGUGGUGGAAAACGAUUUUCUAGUGGUUGGGGAUGAGCUCGCGGCCUAUCAGCUUGUUGUGGGGGUACUGGCCUACCACGGCGGCGACGGGUAGCCAGCGUGAGAGCGUGCACGGCGCCAGUGAGACUGAGUCCCGGCCCCGACUCCUACGAGCGGCAGCAAUGGGGACGCUUGCGGCAUGGGCGGAACGCUGCUGCAGCGACUCAGCGUGGAGGAUGCCGGGCUUCGGGAUGUAAGCUCCUUUCGACGGCGAGAAGGCCACCUGGUUGGGAGGAUGGUGACGGUAGUGGUAGAAAAAGCCCCGGCUAACUACGUG